GGAAAGGAUUGCAAUCUAAGCUGGUGUUAUAGAGAAAUCGCCAGUAUUGAAAACCGGCGGACGUUAAUAGCGUCUCCAGGGUUCGAAUCCCUGGUUUCCC
RNAcentral lists this transfer RNA (100 nucleotides) under Pseudomonas poae. RNAcentral describes it as "tRNA-Ser". The record is from RNAcentral. Lineage: Bacteria; Pseudomonadati; Pseudomonadota; Gammaproteobacteria; Pseudomonadales; Pseudomonadaceae. RNAcentral also lists the same sequence under 1 other name.